UUAAGCGACUAAGCGUACACGGUGGAUGCCCUGGCAGUCAGAGGCGAUGAAGGACGUGCUAAUCUGCGAAAAGCGUCGGUAAGGUGAUAUGAACCGUUACAGCUGGCGAUGUCCGAAUGGGGAAACCCAGUGCAAUUCGUUGCACUAUCGUUUGAUGAAUACAUAGUCAAACGAGGCGAACCGGGGGAACUGAAACAUCUAAGUACCCCGAGGAAAAGAAAUCAACCGAGAUUCCCCCAGUAGCGGCGAGCGAACGGGGAGCAGCCCGGAGUCUGAAUCAGCUUGUGUGUUAGUGGAAGCGUCUGGAAAGUCGCAGGGUACAGGGUGAUACUCCCGUACACUAAAGCACACAGGUUGUGAACUCGAAGAGUAGGGCGGGACACGUGGUAUCCUGUCUGAAUAUGGGGGGACCAUCCUCCAAGGCUAAAUACUCCUGACUGACCGAUAGUGAACCAGUACCGUGAGGGAAAGGCGAAAAGAACCCCGGCGAGGGGAGUGAAAAAGAACCUGAAACCGUGUACGUACAAGCAGUAGGAGCCUCCUUGUGGGGUGACUGCGUACCUUUUGUAUAAUGGGUCAGCGACUUAUAUUCUGUAGCAAGGUUAACCGUAUAGGGGAGCCGCAGGGAAACCGAGUCUUAACUGGGCGUUAAGUUGCAGGGUAUAGACCCGAAACCCGGUGAUCUAGCCAUGGGCAGGUUGAAGGUUGGGUAACACUAACUGGAGGACCGAACCGACUAAUGUUGAAAAAUUAGCGGAUGACUUGUGGCUGGGGGUGAAAGGCCAAUCAAACCGGGAGAUAGCUGGUUCUCCCCGAAAGCUAUUUAGGUAGCGCCUCGUGAACUCAUCUUCGGGGGUAGAGCACUGUUUCGGCUAGGGGGUCAUCCCGACUUACCAACCCGAUGCAAACUACGAAUACCGAAGAAUGUUAUCACGGGAGACACACGGCGGGUGCUAACGUCCGUCGUGAAGAGGGAAACAACCCAGACCGCCAGCUAAGGUCCCAAAGUCAUGGUUAAGUGGGAAACGAUGUGGGAAGGCCCAGACAGCCAGGAUGUUGGCUUAGAAGCAGCCAUCAUUUAAAGAAAGCGUAAUAGCUCACUGGUCGAGUCGGCCUGCGCGGAAGAUGUAACGGGGCUAAACCAUGCACCGAAGCUGCGGCAGCGACACUAUGUGUUGUUGGGUAGGGGAGCGUUCUGUAAGCCGUUGAAGGUGGCCUGUGAGGGUUGCUGGAGGUAUCAGAAGUGCGAAUGCUGACAUAAGUAACGAUAAUGCGGGUGAAAAACCCGCACGCCGGAAGACCAAGGGUUCCUGUCCAACGUUAAUCGGGGCAGGGUGAGUCGACCCCUAAGGCGAGGCCGAAAGGCGUAGUCGAUGGGAAACAGGUUAAUAUUCCUGUACUCGGUGUUACUGCGAAGGGGGGACGGAGAAGGCUAUGUUGGCCGGGCGACGGUUGUCCCGGUUUAAGCAUGUAGGCGGAUGUUCCAGGUAAAUCCGGAACGUUAUUAACGCUGAGGUGUGAUGACGAGGCACUACGGUGCUGAAGUGACAAAUGCCCUGCUUCCAGGAAAAGCCUCUAAGCAUCAGGUAACAUCAAAUCGUACCCCAAACCGACACAGGUGGUCAGGUAGAGAAUACCAAGGCGCUUGAGAGAACUCGGGUGAAGGAACUAGGCAAAAUGGUGCCGUAACUUCGGGAGAAGGCACGCUGAUGGUAGGUGAAGCGACUUGCUCGUGGAGCUGAAAUCAGUCGAAGAUACCAGCUGGCUGCAACUGUUUAUUAAAAACACAGCACUGUGCAAACACGAAAGUGGACGUAUACGGUGUGACGCCUGCCCGGUGCCGGAAGGUUAAUUGAUGGGGUUAUCCGUAAGGAGAAGCUCUUGAUCGAAGCCCCGGUAAACGGCGGCCGUAACUAUAACGGUCCUAAGGUAGCGAAAUUCCUUGUCGGGUAAGUUCCGACCUGCACGAAUGGCGUAAUGAUGGCCAGGCUGUCUCCACCCGAGACUCAGUGAAAUUGAACUCGCUGUGAAGAUGCAGUGUACCCGCGGCAAGACGGAAAGACCCCGUGAACCUUUACUAUAGCUUGACACUGAACACUGGUCCUUGAUGUGUAGGAUAGGUGGGAGGCUUUGAAGUGUGGACGCCAGUCUGCAUGGAGCCAUCCUUGAAAUACCACCCUUUAAUGGCUGGUGUUCUAACGUGGGCCCCUAAUCGGGGUUGCGGACAGUGUCUGGUGGGUAGUUUGACUGGGGCGGUCUCCUCCUAAAGAGUAACGGAGGAGCACGAAGGUCAGCUAAUCCUGGUCGGACAUCAGGAGGUUAGUGCAAUGGCAUAAGCUGGCUUGACUGCGAGCGUGACGGCGCGAGCAGGUGCGAAAGCAGGUCAUAGUGAUCCGGUGGUUCUGAAUGGAAGGGCCAUCGCUCAACGGAUAAAAGGUACUCCGGGGAUAACAGGCUGAUACCGCCCAAGAGUUCAUAUCGACGGCGGUGUUUGGCACCUCGAUGUCGGCUCAUCACAUCCUGGGGCUGAAGUAGGUCCCAAGGGUAUGGCUGUUCGCCAUUUAAAGUGGUACGCGAGCUGGGUUUAGAACGUCGUGAGACAGUUCGGUCCCUAUCUGCCGUGGGCGCUGGAGAAUUGAGGGGGGCUGCUCCUAGUACGAGAGGACCGGAGUGGACGCAUCACUGGUGUUCGGGUUGUCAUGCCAAUGGCAUUGCCCGGUAGCUAAAUGCGGAAGAGAUAAGUGCUGAAAGCAUCUAAGCACGAAACUUGCCCCGAGAUGAGUUCUCCCUGACUCCUUGAGAGUCCUGAAGGAACGUUGAAGACGACGACGUUGAUAGGCCGGGUGUGUAAGCGCAGCGAUGCGUUGAGCUAACCGGUACUAAUGAACCGUGAGGCUUAACCU
Molecule: ribosomal RNA, 2903 nt
Filed under: Klebsiella michiganensis
Lineage: Bacteria; Pseudomonadati; Pseudomonadota; Gammaproteobacteria; Enterobacterales; Enterobacteriaceae
Description: 23S ribosomal RNA
Rfam family: Bacterial large subunit ribosomal RNA
Source: RNAcentral